GCACGGGGGCAACCCUGGUGGCGAGUGGCGAACGGGUGAGUAAUGCAUCGGAACGUGCCCAGUAGUGGGGGAUAACUAGUCGAAAGAUUAGCUAAUACCGCAUACGACCUAUGGGUGAAAGCGGGGGACCUUUACCGGCCUCGCGCUAUUGGAGCGGCCGAUGUCUGAUUAGCUAGUUGGCGGGGUAAAAGCCCACCAAGGCGACGAUCAGUAGCUGGUCUGAGAGGACGACCAGCCACACUGGGACUGAGACACGGCCCAGACUCCUACGGGAGGCAGCAGUGGGGAAUUUUGGACAAUGGGCGCAAGCCUGAUCCAGCCAUGCCGCGUGCGGGAAGAAGGCCUUCGGG
RNAcentral lists this ribosomal RNA (350 nucleotides) under uncultured bacterium. Its description in RNAcentral is "bacterial SSU rRNA". It matches the Rfam family "Bacterial small subunit ribosomal RNA", at positions 71 to 422 of the family's 1533-position model. The record is from RNAcentral.